UUGUUGCAGUUAAAAAGCUCGUAGUUGGACUUUAGGCAAGGCGGCCUGGUCACCCUCUGGGUGUACUGGGAUCGCUGCGCCUCACCUUCGGGGAGCUAGUCGUGCUUCGGUGCGCUAGGGAACCGAGCCUUACCUUGAGGAAAUUAGAGUGUUUAAAGCAGGCUUAUGCUUGAAUACGUUAGCAUGGAAUAACAUGAUAGGACUUUGGUUCUAUUUUGUUGGUUUGAGGACCAAAGUAAUGAUUAAUAGGGACAGUUGGGGGCAUUAGUAUUCAAUAGUCAGAGGUGAAAUUCUUGGAUUUAUUGAAGACUAACUAAUGCGAAAGCAUUUGCCAAGGAUGUUUUCAUUAAUCAAGAACGAAAGUUAGGGGAUCGAAGACGAUUAGAUACCGUCGUAGUCUUAACCAUAAACUAUGCCGACUAGGGAUCGGUGGAAGUCGAUUUUGACUCCAUCGGCACCUUACGAGAAAUCAAAGUUUUUGGGUUCUGGGGGGAGUAUGGUCGCAAGGCUGAAACUUAAAGGAAUUGACGGAAGGGCACCACCAGGAGUGGAGCCUGCGGCUUAAUUUGACUCAACACGGGAAAACUCACCAGGUCCGGACAUGGGAAGGAUUGACAGAUUGAGAGCU
This 628-nucleotide ribosomal RNA is filed under the name uncultured eukaryote. RNAcentral's name for it is "SSU rRNA". It matches the Rfam family "Eukaryotic small subunit ribosomal RNA", at positions 610 to 1256 of the family's 1831-position model. The record is from RNAcentral.